Mycena leptocephala is the source of this 90-nucleotide non-coding RNA. Lineage: Eukaryota; Fungi; Basidiomycota; Agaricomycetes; Agaricales; Mycenaceae. The record is from the annotation of a GenBank genome assembly.
GGCCCUGUGGCGGACGGUCCGCAUCUGCAAAGUGUGGACGGUAACACAUUGCUUCUGCAGAGGAUGCCUGUUCGAUUCAGGCCGGGGCCA